This 421-nucleotide long non-coding RNA is filed under the name Carica papaya (papaya). Its description in RNAcentral is "long non-coding RNA (CPAP_LNC013489)". The record is from RNAcentral. Lineage: Eukaryota; Viridiplantae; Streptophyta; Magnoliopsida; Brassicales; Caricaceae.
UGGGAAUUCAUAGGGGUUCCUCGCUACCCGUGAACCAUUAAAAUUACAACCUGAUUCCAGGGCCGUCCCCAUACCCCGUCUGGUAUGGGCGCCAAAACCAUGAACCUCAAUACCCCGUCCGGUAUGAGGGUGAAACGGGCCGUCCCCAUACCCCGUCCGGUAUGGGCGCCAAAACACAUAAGGUCUCCAUACUCCGUCCGGUAUGAGCGCCAAAACACAUAAGGUCUCCAUACCCCGUCCGGUAUGAGAGACCAAGUUCCCGGUAGGGUUCCUUACGGACUCGGUUCGUCCACUAUUUCCCAGGAUAUCUAGUCAGGUUGUCCACAUUUUCCACUUAUCAAUUCACAUAACCUUUUUGCCUUUUUUCUUAAUCUCAAUCAUCCAAUCAUACACAACAUGUAAACCAGUAAUUGACACCAAA